RNAcentral lists this ribosomal RNA (468 nucleotides) under uncultured bacterium. RNAcentral's name for it is "partial 16S ribosomal RNA". It matches the Rfam family "Bacterial small subunit ribosomal RNA", at positions 28 to 507 of the family's 1533-position model. The record is from RNAcentral.
GACGAACGCUGGCGGCGUGCUUAACACAUGCAAGUCGAACGGAAAGGCCCUGCUUUUGUGGUGUGCUCGAGUGGCGAACGGGUGAGUAACACGUGUGUAACCUGCCCUUGACUUUGGGAUAACUUCAGGAAACUGGGGCUAAUACCGGAUAGGAGCUCCUGCUGCAUGGUGGGGGUUGGAACGUUUCGGCGGUUGGGGAUGGACUCGCGGCUUAUCAGCUUGUUGGUGGGGUAGUGGCUUACCAAGGCUUUGACGGGUAGCCGGCCUGAGAGCGUGACCGGCCACAUUGGGCCUGAGAUACGGCCCAGACUCCUACGGGAGGCAGCAGUGGGGAAUAUUGCACAAUGGGCGGAAGCCUGAUGCAGCAACGCCGCGUGCGGGAUGACGGCCUUCGGGUUGUAAACCGCUUUCGCCUGUGACGAAGCGUGAGUGACGGUAAUGGGUAAAGAAGCACCGGCUAACUACGUG